Molecule: ribosomal RNA, 404 nt
Filed under: Fusarium sporotrichioides
Lineage: Eukaryota; Fungi; Ascomycota; Sordariomycetes; Hypocreales; Nectriaceae
Description: eukaryotic LSU rRNA
Rfam family: 5.8S ribosomal RNA (bases 52-205)
Source: RNAcentral
CUACAUUCUGUUUUUAGUGGAACUUCUGAGUAUAAAAAACAAAUAAAUCAAAACUUUCAACAACGGAUCUCUUGGUUCUGGCAUCGAUGAAGAACGCAGCAAAAUGCGAUAAGUAAUGUGAAUUGCAGAAUUCAGUGAAUCAUCGAAUCUUUGAACGCACAUUGCGCCCGCCAGUAUUCUGGCGGGCAUGCCUGUUCGAGCGUCAUUUCAACCCUCAAGCCCAGCUUGGUGUUGGGAUCUGUGUGCAAACACAGUCCCCAAAUUGAUUGGCGGUCACGUCGAGCUUCCAUAGCGUAGUAAUUUACACAUCGUUACUGGUAAUCGUCGCGGCCACGCCGUUAAACCCCAACUUCUGAAUGUUGACCUCGGAUCAGGUAGGAAUACCCGCUGAACUUAAGCAUAUC